RNAcentral lists this ribosomal RNA (253 nucleotides) under uncultured bacterium. Its description in RNAcentral is "partial 16S ribosomal RNA". It matches the Rfam family "Bacterial small subunit ribosomal RNA", at positions 524 to 776 of the family's 1533-position model. The record is from RNAcentral.
UACAGAGGAUGCAAGCGUUAUCCGGAAUGAUUGGGCGUAAAGCGUCUGUAGGCGGCUUUACAGGUCCGCUGUGAAAACUCGAGGCUCAACCUCGAGCUGUCGGUGGAAACCGUAAGGCUAGAGUCCGGAAGAGGAGUGUGGAAUUCCCGGUGUAGAGGUGAAAUUCGUAGAUAUUCGGCGGAACACCAGUGGCGAAGGCGACUCACUGGCCCGAUACUGACGCUGAGGCGCGAAAGCGUGGGGAGCAAACAGG